AGAGUUUGAUCAUGGCUCAGGACGAACGCUGGCGGCGUGCUUAACACAUGCAAGUCGAGCGGGGUGAGUUCUUCGGAACGAUCCUAGCGGCGGACGGGUGAGUAACACGUGAGUAACCUGCCCUAUGGAGGGGGAUAACACAAAGAAAUUUGUGCUAAUACCGCAUAACACUGAUGCUUCGCAUGGAGUGUCAGUCAAAGAUUUAUCGCCAUAGGAUGGACUCGCGGCGCAUUAGCUAGUUGGUGAGGUAACGGCUCACCAAGGCGACGAUGCGUAGCCGACCUGAGAGGGUGAUCGGCCACAUUGGAACUGAGACACGGUCCAGACUCCUACGGGAGGCAGCAGUGGGGAAUAUUGCACAAUGGGCGAAAGCCUGAUGCAGCAACGCCGCGUGAGCGAUGAAGGCCUUCGGGUUGUAAAGCUCUGUCUUUGCUGACGAAUAAAUGACGGUAAGCAAGGAGGAAGCCACGGCUAACUACGUGCCAGCAGCCGCGGUAAUACGUAGGUGGCAAGCGUUGUCCGGAAUUACUGGGCGUAAAGAAUGCGUAGGCGGUCUUUUAAGUGGGAUGUGAAAUCCCUGGGCUCAACCCAGGAACUGCAUUCCAAACUGGAAGACUAGAGUGUGGGAGAGGAAAAUGGUAUUCCCAGUGUAGCGGUGAAAUGCGUAGAGAUUGGGAGGAACACCAGUAGCGAAGGCGAUUUUCUGGAACAUAACUGACGCUGAGGCAUGAAAGCGUGGGGAGCAAACAGGAUUAGAUACCCUGGUAGUCCACGCCGUAAACGAUGAGUACUAUGUGUAGGGGGGUACCACCCCCUGUGCCGCAGUUAACACAUUAAGUACUCCGCCUGGGAAGUACGAUCGCAAGAUUAAAACUCAAAGGAAUUGACGG
Molecule: ribosomal RNA, 890 nt
Filed under: uncultured bacterium
Lineage: Bacteria
Description: bacterial SSU rRNA
Rfam family: Bacterial small subunit ribosomal RNA
Source: RNAcentral